AAAAAGGCAAACUAUAAUUUUACGUGUCCAACUUUGACUGUCUGUCUUAUAUGAAAUUUUUUUAUAAUUCGUAUUUUCAUGGUUGUUAGAUGAUAAAACAUGAUUAAUAUUUUAUGCGUGACUUGUCUUUUUAAUUUUUUCAUAAUUUUUUUAAAUAAGACGAACAAUCAAAUGAUGGACACGGAAAUCACUUUUU
Oryza glaberrima (African rice) is the source of this 196-nucleotide non-coding RNA. NCBI's taxonomy places the organism in Eukaryota, Viridiplantae, Streptophyta, Magnoliopsida, Poales, Poaceae. The record is from Rfam.